GGGCAGCGCCGCGCCGCUUUGUGUCGCUCCGGAGGGCGGGCGUCGCGCCACAGGUGGCGGGGCCGCCAGGGAAUUUCCAUGCGAUUCUCAUAUGACCUCCUGCUCACUGUGCUCCGGCUGUAAUGGAUGGGCGUUUGUGGUCUGGUACCAGGAAGGGUUCAUCCAACUGUGAAAUUUCAGAAAUCCUACACCAAAGUAUUUUAAACUGGCAAAUACAGCCAAGGAAACACACCGUGGCUUUUGUUUUGAGAUCUUGUGCACCCACGGUGGUGCAGGACAUCCUCCAGCAUACGGUUCCCUGCUUGUUCUCCUGGAGAAGCUCACGCAACCUCAGUCCCAGAGGCAGCACCUAAAGUUGACAUAAAAACUGGAAUACACUGACAAACAUAGAAUGCACCAUGUUCAGUUGUAACAGAACAGCUCUAUCCAUGCUUUCUUUGCCUCAGUACCCCUUUCCAGCUCACCUUCUCUUGUUGUGAAGACCAGAUGAGCUCCUUGAGAACCAAGACAGAGCCAGGAACAGGAUAUUGACACCCGGAGAGCAACUGAAACCUUAAUGAGAAAACCUAUUGUGUUGUAUACGGCCUGCCUUCCUGCAAGGUGCUGCACACGGGACCUUCUUGUCUUCUCGUUGUGUGCCCUCAUGGACGUACCUUCAUCAUCAUUCGUUAUAGAGAAGACGUAAGUUUGAAAGGGUUUACCACCACAGUUUCGAGUUAAUCUUCCUCUUUUGAAUGGAACAAUGGGAUUAGAAACCCAGAAAUAAGGAAAUUUAUGGAAGGGCUUGAAGCUCCUGGAAACUUCCAGCUCGGUAAGUGCUCCCAAACAGCUGGGUUUGUUCUAACACGCAGACACACCAACACACCCUGAGACGGCUGGUUGUGAACUUUCUCUAGGUUGCGUUUCCGUUCCUUGCUGCCCCUUCCUGCAGCGAUAUUGUUGGGUGUUUUCUUUGUUGCCCUCAGUCGGUAUCAGCAAAACUCCAGUGACUGUAACUGAUAUUUGAAAAUUCUCCCUGUGUCAUGCGAAGACUUACCGUGCUGAAAUCAAUAAGACUGUUUAAAAUUCAAAGACCUGCAAAUCGUUCUGUUUGUCCUUUGAUAGGGCCUGGGCUGAUUAAAAUGCGACCAAGAAAGCUUAAUUGCUGCACUAAUUAAGAAGUCUUUAAUUUCUUUCCUGGAAUAUUGUUUGAAGCUGGGUUUCUGCUCUGCACAUAGCACUGUUCAGGGCAGGGAUUCGCUCUGCUUCUCUGUCUCUUUUUUUCUUUUGACAAUUUCAGUAUAAUAAAAUGUAUGUUAAAGCAGUAAGAUGUAUUGACAAUGAUUGUAAUUUAUUACUCAAAAAAAAAAAAAAAAGAAGACUGAUACAGGGUUCACUAUUGUAUUAAAUUACAAUUUUGAGGGCAGCUGUAAAGGGUGAAAUGAAAUUAGAAAAUGCAUUGUAGUUGUUGCGUUUCAAGGAAUCUGAGUACCUGACUGACAGGAGGUCGGGCAGCACACCAGUACCUCCCGUUUCUUCUCUUAGUAUUGAUAAUUAAAGAUUUUAAUUCAUUCAGGGAAAAAGGAAAAAAAAGAAAAAGAAAAGAGAGAUACAUGUGUGCUGAGUGAAUGUGAAGGAAUGGACGGGGGGAUGCGCAGCGGACAGGCACAUGGUGGGGAUGAAUUGUGCAUCAUCACAUUAACUUCGUGUACAAUAUUUUUCCCUGCAUUUCUUUUGACUUCAUUCCUCCAAAAAAAAAAAAAAAAGCAUUUCUCUCUUGUGUCUUGUCUUAUGCUUUUCAGUGACUUGUUUUGUUCCCCAGUUUCCAAAGAGAAGAAACUCCAUCAUUUCACAAAGCUUUCUGCGUGAUCAAUAGAGUCACGCUUUAGGUUUAAUCGUGCUGCAUUACAACUCAGGCAAGCAACUGCUGAGCAGGAGGCUCAGACAGGAACAGGCACUGCGAGGAGAAGGAGUGCCAAGGGUGUCCCCUCCUCCCAGCCCAGCCUGGACGAAACAGGGCUAUGCGUGCUGCCAACCGUGCCUAAAGGAGCUCAGGGGUAACCUGGCACGCACCGCUCUUUGGACAGCUUUCAGCUGCUGUUCUCGUGGGCUCUGCGGAUGUUUUGUAUUGCACUACCGAAGCGACACCUGAGGGGUAACGCGGGGUGGUGCUUUGCGAGCUCCUGAAUUUAACAAUAAUAACAAUUUCAAAAAGAAGUGCUUUGCCUGUCUGGUUCCUGCGCGUUCAGAGACCUAACUCAGCUCAGCUGCAGUAAAGCGAAGAGACAUAAAAGGAGGCCGUACACGCAGACCAAGUCCGUCACGCUGAAGCAGCAGUUGUUGCCCCCGGCCCUCCCCUGCGACUGGAUGCAACGUGGGAUAGCGUUGCUCAGAGAAACUUAACCAGACGCGCAGCGCCCACUAGCGCCCGUGCAGCCGG
Long non-coding RNA from Gallus gallus (chicken), 2419 nucleotides. Lineage: Eukaryota; Metazoa; Chordata; Aves; Galliformes; Phasianidae. The record is from Ensembl.